Molecule: long non-coding RNA, 317 nt
Filed under: Elaeis guineensis (African oil palm)
Lineage: Eukaryota; Viridiplantae; Streptophyta; Magnoliopsida; Arecales; Arecaceae
Description: long non-coding RNA (EGUI_LNC074305)
Source: RNAcentral
GUCCUAACAUGAGCUGAAAUUGACUGUGUCAGGAACAGGAGAAGAACCUCAUCCUGACACAAAUGGAGAUAUGGUCGUUUAAGAUCGGAUGAGGGAAAGAGCCCCCUCAACGGCUCUUCUACACCCCUACAAUUUCGUUAGGAGCAGAGGAAAAACCCUCGCCCAAACAUAAAAAAAGAGGAGAGAAAAAGGAAAAACGACGAGCCACGUCAGAGAUAAGGAAAAAAUGAACUAUAUCAAUGACGCAAGGGACCUCAUCUCAACGAGGAAGGAGACUCUUGUCAAAAACCCUCAAUCUCUAAGGAGAAACCCAACAC